RNAcentral lists this transfer RNA (74 nucleotides) under Patescibacteria group bacterium. RNAcentral describes it as "tRNA-Arg". It matches the Rfam family "tRNA". From Rfam's summary of the family: Transfer RNA (tRNA) molecules are approximately 80 nucleotides in length. The record is from RNAcentral.
GCCCCCGUGGCUCAACUGGAUAGAGCGCCGCGCUUCGGACGCGAAGAUUGAGGGUCCGAAUCCUUCCGGGGGCA